UGGGGAAUAUUGCACAAUGGGCGCAAGCCUGAUGCAGCCAUGCCGCGUGUGUGAAGAAGGCCUCGGGUUGUAAAGCACUUUCAGCGAGGAGGAAGGUGGUGAGCUUAAUACGCUCAUCAAUUGACGUUACUCGCAGAAGAAGCACCGGCUAACUCCGUGCCAGCAGCCGCGGUAAUACGGAGGGUGCAAGCGUUAAUCGGAAUUACUGGGCGUAAAGCGCACGCAGGCGGUUUGUUAAGUCAGAUGUGAAAAUCCCCCGGGCUCAACCUGGGAACUGCAUUUGAAACUGGCAAGCUAGAGUCUCGUAGAGGGGGGUAGAAUUCCAGGUGUAGCGGUGAAAUGCGUAGAGAUCUGGAGGAAUACCGGUGGCGAAGGCGGCCCCCCUGGACGAAGACUGACGCUCAGGUGCGAAAGCGUGGGGCAGCAAACAGGAUUAGAUACCCUGGUAGUCCACGCUGUAAAACGAUGUCGAUUUGGAGGUUGUGCCCUUGGGGCGUGGCUUCCGGAGCUAACGCGUUAAAGUCGACCGCCUGGGGAGUACGGCNCAAGGUUAAAACUCAAAUGAAUUGCGGGUCAU
RNAcentral lists this ribosomal RNA (577 nucleotides) under uncultured bacterium. Its description in RNAcentral is "partial 16S ribosomal RNA". It matches the Rfam family "Bacterial small subunit ribosomal RNA", at positions 355 to 920 of the family's 1533-position model. The record is from RNAcentral.